Ostrea edulis (European flat oyster) is the source of this 1177-nucleotide long non-coding RNA. RefSeq lists it as uncharacterized. The record is from RefSeq and is a predicted model, not a curated record. The transcript is spliced from 2 exons. NCBI's taxonomy places the organism in Eukaryota, Metazoa, Mollusca, Bivalvia, Ostreida, Ostreidae.
AGGGAAGAAUGAUUCAUAAGGCAGAUGACAACAACAUGGAAUGGGUGGAAAGUGAUGGAAGAUAAAUUUAUAGCCUUGGUGAAAAUUUCAAGGAGAGAGGGAGUUUAUUUACAUCAGGAUUGCAAGAAGUAUACUUCAGCACAGUUGAGAUUUUUAAAUGUCCAUCAGAAAUUGUGUGAAUUCCAGAAUCAUUGUUCACUGCACUGCACGGCUGAUGUGCAUCAACUAUGAAUAUGAUCUAGACUUAACAGACAUCAUCAUGCCUAUGCCAGUCAUGGACAUUGACAUUGAAUAAAGAACAACAUGUUGUCACCCAUUACAUGACAAAUCUAACUCAGAUGUGAAAGGGGGGGGGGGGGUGACUCCAAAGCCGAUAGAUCUGCCACAUUGCUCAAGCUGCCAUUGAUUCUGGUAAGUUAACUUUUUUUUUAUCUUCCUGCACUAACAGAUACUGAAAUAUGCACUUAUGCAUAAAUACUCAUGGAUGAAAUUUUUAAAAUUUUACUUCUAUUUGAAUUUUUUAAGAUAUCAAUUUCCUCAAUGCACAAUUUUCUAGAUUAAAAUACUGUUACAACAUAUUUAGGAAAUACAAUGAAAUUUUAAUAUAUGUGUUUGGUGUUUACAGACAAGGCAAUACAUUGAGAAACACAAAAGUUGGGUCCAGAUUAAGACAGAUGUAAAGAAAGAGUUGAAAGAUGUGUUCUGAAGUAAGACAGCCAUACCCCUGCUUUCCAAGGAACCAAACAAUUACUUUCCUUGUAUCGACAUGGUGAAAAAUGGGGAGUGUCCAGAAAAUGACGAAGACCUCCAGAAUGUCAUCAGUGAUAUUGUUGCAAUUGAAUGUAGCCAAUUAUUAUCCAAUAUAUAUUAUCUAUGACUGAACUCAUAAGUGGUUAAGGAAAAAUGUUUUAAUUUUUUAUUCAGGUUAUUUAAUCCUUUAGGUUGAAAUAAAUAUCUACUGCUUGGAGGUUAUUUUACAUCUCUCAGGAUUUUCUAGAUGUCAGAUUUCCUAAAACUCACACUUUUGUUUCAUUUUUUUUUUUUUGAAUAAAUGUACAGAAAAAUUGAAUAUUCUUCUAUGGGAUAUUUUUGCCAAUAGUUUCAGUUGAAAGUUGCAACAACAACAACAAAAACAAAAACAAAACAAAAUAAACAAAAAAAAAAAAAUAAAAAAAAA